RNAcentral lists this long non-coding RNA (2515 nucleotides) under Homo sapiens (human). Its description in RNAcentral is "HSALNT0255765". The record is from RNAcentral. Lineage: Eukaryota; Metazoa; Chordata; Mammalia; Primates; Hominidae.
AGCCGGGUAUGCUGGCAGGUGACUGCACCAUAAAAAAUGUUCAAGAUUAAACAGGGGGACGGUGAGGUAACCCAGAAAUAAGCAACAGCAGAAAGCGCCACCACCACAAAACCAGGAGAGGAAGAUGUGGUUUCUGGAGCCUGGGAGCUGGUGAGAGCCAGAAACUCAUAGGAGGGAAAGAAGUGCUGCAGACAUGGUCCCCAGCAGAGCGAGGCGGGGAAGAGCCCAGCCUGUCCCCCGCUCCAGGCUCUAUCUCCCACCAGUGCCUCCCACGGGCUGAGCCCAACAGGGACAGGCUGAUGAAGCCCAGGCAAUGGUGCCUUACUGGGUGGAUCGAAGGAGGGACAGGGUGCAGGUGUGGGUGCCCACCCUGGCUUGGCCUCUUCUCACCUGGGUGGCUUCGGACACAGGGUGGACUCCUCAAAGGGGCUGCUUCCCAUCUGAGAAGCCAGCAUAAUCCUCCAGGGGCUACUGAUAUACACACGCUGCCCCUGGUCCUGAGUUAGAUCACCCUGCCCCUAGGGAGGGCUUGGGGGCUUCACUGCUGAAGUUCAGACUCCAGGGUGGUCCUUGUCCUGUGUGCCUCAGUUUCCCCAUCUGUAAAAUGGAUGGUCCUGGGGCUGAGCCUCAGUGCUGCAGGGACUAGUGUGGAACCCUGUGUCCUGGUGCCUGAAACCUUACUCCCACCUCAGCAGGGCUGGGCUGAGCCAUCAGCAAGCCUCUGGCCGGCCUCCAUCAUUCAGGAAAGAGCCGGUGGCUGAAGGCACAGCUCUCAGAGGGAGAACAAACGGGGGCGGGGGUGGGAUGGGGGCGGGGCCGGAGGCCACCGGCCUCAGGCUGUCCUGGGCAUCCAGCCAGUGCUGGGCAGUGAGUCAGGGGCCAGGCAUGUGGAGUGGGGCCUCUCCCAGCCCCGGAGAUCAGGCACCUCCCGGAACCCGCCUGCUGGGCCCCCACCAGGCCGCGUUCCUCUCCCACUCGCUCUCCCCAUAGAGGGGACCCUGGACCUGCCUGGGGGGGACGAGGAUGGGGAUGUGGCUGGUGGGCACAGGGCCUCUCUGAGCCCCGGCACAGGCCGCCUGAUGGGACCGUCUCUUCCUUGGGGAAACUGAGGCCCAGGUUGCUGGGGUGGAGGGGAUGUGGAGUGACAGGGCAGGGCAAUGGCUCCUCGGCCCCCUCCGGGAACAAAGCCAGGUCAUUCCUGUGGGGAGGGAGCGCCAACCCCAGGGUUGGGGGGGGCACGGGCCCUGGGUCAGGGGUACAGAUAAGCCUGGGCUCCCAGAACCCUUGUCACAGCGGCACCCCUGCCCCAUGCCUGCUUUCUCUCCAGGGCACUCAGAGCUGCAGUUUGCAGGACGAGAGGGAGACGUGCCCAAUCCCCCCAUCCCAGGACGCUCAGCCGUGCGUGGGCUGGGCCCACUCCACUCCCGGCGCCCACAGUUGCCCCAGUGAACCGGCCAGUGGAGGCAUCCUGUCCCGUGUGCGGGAAAGGAAUGACCGCCAAGGUGACAGCAGCGCUUAGCCAACCCUGGCGCUGACACCUGACUUGCAAACUGCUCCCUGCCUGAGGCUUCAAGGCAGGCGAGAGGCUUUGUGUGUGUGACUUCCUCCCCGAAGGGACACUGGCAACAGCUGGAGACAUUUCCUGUUGUUAAGGCUGAGGGGGAGCUGCUGGCAUUUGGUGGGUGGAGGCCAGGGAUGACGUUAACUGUUCUACUACGCCCAGGACAGCCCCCAACACACACAACAGCCUGGCCCAAUGUCACGAGAGCUGAGGUGGAACAGCCCUGUUCUGCUUCAGGUCUUCAGGUCUUUGGGGGUCAAGGAUGCAAAUAGAGGACUCUGCUCCCAAUUCAGCUCACAUAAAAGAACCGGCCGGGCGCUGUCGCUCAUGCCUAUAAUCCCAGCGCUUUGGGAGGCCGAAGUGGGAGGAUCGCUUGAGCCCAGGAGUUUGAGACCAGCCUGGGUAACAUAGCAAGAUCCCAUUUCUACGAAAGUACAAAAAUUACCUGGGCACGGUGGCAUGCACCUGUAGUCCCAGCGGCUUGGGAGGCUGAGGUGGGAAGUUUGCUUGAGCCCAGGAGGUUGAGGCUGCAGUGAGCCGAGAUCAUGCCAGUGCACUCCAGCCUCGGCGACAGAGUUAGACUCUAUCUCAAAAAAGAAAAAAGAGAGAAAACCCACCAACUUGGAAAAUUAAAACAGCCCCAAGGGCAUCUAGGAACAGUUAACUGCACAUCUAAACCCAGGCCCGCCGUUCUUAGAAGCUCUGCAAGCUGCAUGGACUGACUCCUGACAUUUCAGGGCUAGACUCAAAAAUCCCUUUAAAAAAAUUUUGUUUCUGAGACGGAGUUUCACUCUUGUCCAAGCUGGAGUGGAAUGGCACGAUCUCGGCUCACUGCAACCUCCACCUCCUGGGUUCAAGUAAGUCUCCUGCCACAGCCUCCAGAGUAGCUGGGAUUACAGGUGCCCGCCACCAUGCCUGGCUAACUUGUAUUUUUAGUAGAGAUGGGGUUUCACC